GAAAGCUCCGGCGGUACAGGAUGGUCAUGCGCACGAUUAGCUAGUUGGUGAGGUAACGGCUCACCAAGGCGACGAUCUAUAGCUGUUCUGAGAGGAAGAUCAGCCACACUGGGACUGAGACACGGCCCAGACUCCUACGGGAGGCAGCAGUUAGGAAUAUUGGACAAUGGGCGCAAGCCUGAUCCAGCCAUGCCGCGUGAGUGAUGAAGGCCUUCGGGUUGUAAAGCUCUUUAGCCGACGAUUAUAAUGACUGUAGUCGGAGAAUAAGCCCCGGCUAACUUCGUGCCAGCAGCCGCGGUAAUACGAAGGGGGCGAGCGUUAUUCGGAAUCACUGGGCGUAAAGCGUGCGUAGGCCGUUUUGUAAGUUAGGAGUGAAAGCCCAGGGCUUAACCCUGGAAUUGCUCUUAAGACUGCAAGACUAGAAUCUCGGAGAGGAUAGCGGAAUUGUCAGUGUAGCAGUGAAAUGCGUAGAUAUUGACAGGAACACCAGUGGCGCAAGCGGCUAUCUGGACGAGUAUUGACGCUGAGGCACGAAAGCGUGGGGAGCAAACAGGAUUAGAUACCCUGGUAGUCCACGCCGUAAACGAUGUGUGUUUGUCGCUGGGAGGUUUACCUUUCAGUGACGCAGCUAACGCGUUAAGCACACCGCCUGGGAAGUACGGCCGCAAGGUUAAAACUCAAAGGAAUUGACGGGGACCCGCACAAGCGGUGGAGUAUGUGGUUUAAUUCGUCGCAACGCGAAGAACCUUACCAGGCCUUGACAUGCCCUCUAUGAUGCUCAGAGACGAGCGUCUUCACUUCGGGUGGGAGGAGCACAGGUGCUGCAUGGCUGUCGUCAGCUCGUGUCGUGAGAUGUUGGGUUAAGUCCCGCAACGAGCGCAACCCUUUUUAUCAGUUGCCAACACGUAAUGGUGGGAACUCUGAUGAUACUGCCGGUGAUAAGCCGGAGGAAGGCGGGGAUGACGUCAAGUCCUCAUGGCCCUUACGGCCUGGGCUACACACGUACUACAAUGGCAGUGACAGCGGGCUGCAAGCUAGUAAUAGCAAGCAAAUCCCUAAAAACUGCCUCAGUUCAGAUUGUGCUCUGCAACUCGAGCACAUGAAGUUGGAAUCGCUAGUAAUCGUGGAUCAGCAUGCCACGGUGAAUACGUUCCCGGGUCUU
This 1162-nucleotide ribosomal RNA is filed under the name uncultured bacterium. Its description in RNAcentral is "bacterial SSU rRNA". It matches the Rfam family "Bacterial small subunit ribosomal RNA", at positions 202 to 1382 of the family's 1533-position model. The record is from RNAcentral.